UACGUAGGGUGCAAGCGUUGUCCGGAUUGACUGGGCGUAAAGCGCACGCAGGCGGAUGCGCGCGUGGGGUGUGAAAUCUGGCCGCUUAACGGCCAGGCGCCAUCCCAUACGGCGCGUCUGGAGCUAUGCAGAGGUCGGUGGAAUUGCCGGUGUAGUGGUGAAAUGCGUAGAGAUCGGCAGGAACACCCAGGGGGAAACCAGCCGACUGGGCAUAUGCUGACGCUGAGGUGCGAGAGCGUGGGGAGCGAACCGG
Molecule: ribosomal RNA, 253 nt
Filed under: uncultured bacterium
Lineage: Bacteria
Description: partial 16S ribosomal RNA
Rfam family: Bacterial small subunit ribosomal RNA
Source: RNAcentral